GCAGAGGGAAAGAGACUGAGGAGAGAGAGAGAGAGACUGAGGAGAGAGAGAGAGAGAGACUGAGGAGAGAGAGAGAGACUGAGGAGAGAGAGAGACUGAGGAGAGAGAGAGAGACUGCAGAGAGAGAGAGAGAGAGAGAGACUGAGGAGAGAGAGAGAGACUGAGGAGAGAGAGAGAGACUGAGGAGAGAGCGAGACUGAGGAGAGAGAGAGACUGCAGAGAGAGAGAGAGAGACUACGGAGAGAGAGAGAGACUACGGAGAGAGAGAGAAAGACAGGAGAGAGAAAGACAGGAGAGAGAAAGACAGGAGAGAGAAAGACAGGAGAGAGAAAGACUGAGGAGAGAGAGAGACUGAGGAGAGAGAGAGAGAGAGACUGAGGAGAGAGAGAGAGAGAGACUGAGGAGAGAGAGAGAGAGACUGAGGAGAGAGAGAGACUGAGGAGAGAGAGAGAGAGACUGAGGAGAGAG
This 468-nucleotide long non-coding RNA is filed under the name Salmo salar (Atlantic salmon). RNAcentral's name for it is "lncRNA (ENSSSAG00000096050.1)". The record is from RNAcentral. Lineage: Eukaryota; Metazoa; Chordata; Actinopteri; Salmoniformes; Salmonidae.